CUGGAACACCUCCUUUCUGGAGAGUAUGACUGUUCGACGACAGAUCGAUGCUCGUUCUUUCUCUCGAAUUACCGGUAAUUUUUGUUAUACGAGUGGGAUUCUCCCGCGGAUACAGUCCCGUAGCUCAGUUGGUUAGAGCACUACACUGAUAAUGUAGGGGUCUGCGGUUCAAGUCCGCACGGGACUACACAAAAGCUCGGGGGAUUAGCUCAGUUGGCUAGAGCACCUGCUUUGCAAGCAGGGGGUCAAGGGUUCGACUCCCUUAUCCUCCACUCGGAUCGGAUAACCGAUCAACGUUCCUUGACAUUAUUGAGGAGAUGAGAUAGAGUUCUCACACGGGCAAUAGGCUGUGUGGGAAGUUGUAAGAAAGUAAAAAAGGGCGCAUGGUGAAUGCCU
RNAcentral lists this transfer RNA (396 nucleotides) under uncultured Alistipes sp. RNAcentral's name for it is "partial contains 16S ribosomal RNA, 16S-23S ribosomal RNA intergenic spacer, and 23S ribosomal RNA". The stretch from base 114 to 187 matches the Rfam family "tRNA". Lineage: Bacteria; Pseudomonadati; Bacteroidota; Bacteroidia; Bacteroidales; Rikenellaceae. The record is from RNAcentral.